GCCGAUGUAGCUCAACGGUAGAGCACGGCUUUCGUAAAGCCGAGGUUGUGGGUUCAAGUCCCGUCAUCGGCU
Molecule: transfer RNA, 72 nt
Filed under: Planctomycetota bacterium
Lineage: Bacteria; Pseudomonadati; Planctomycetota
Description: Planctomycetes bacterium (groundwater metagenome) tRNA-Thr
Rfam family: tRNA
About the family: Transfer RNA (tRNA) molecules are approximately 80 nucleotides in length. Their secondary structure includes four short double-helical elements and three loops (D, anti-codon, and T loops).
Source: RNAcentral